This 441-nucleotide ribosomal RNA is filed under the name uncultured bacterium. RNAcentral's name for it is "partial 16S ribosomal RNA". It matches the Rfam family "Bacterial small subunit ribosomal RNA", at positions 338 to 795 of the family's 1533-position model. The record is from RNAcentral.
GCUACGGGAGGCAGCAGUGGGGAAUAUUGCACAAUGGGGGAAACCCUGAUGCAGCAACGCCGCGUGAGUGAGGAAGUAUUUCUGUAUGUAAAGCUCUAUCAGCAGGGAAUAGAAAAGAAGGUACCUGAAAAAGCAGCCCCGGCUCACUACGUGCCAGCAGACGCGGUAAUACGAAGGGGGCAAGCGUUAUCCGGAGUUACUGGGAGUAAAGGGCGCGUAGACGGAAAGGCAAGUCAGAAAUGAAAGCCCAAGGCUCAACCAUGGGACUGCUUUUGAAACUGUCAAACUAGAGGACGGGAGAGGUAAGAGGAAUUCCUAGUGUCGCGGUGAAAUGCGUAGAUAUUAGGAGGAACACCAGUGGCGAAGGCGUCUUACUGGACCGAAACUGACGUUGAGGCUCGAAAGCGUGGGGAGCAAACAGGAUUAGAUACCCUGGUAGUC